UGGGGAAUAUUGCGCAAUGGGCGAAAGCCUGAUCCAGCCAUGCCGCGUGAGUGACGAAGGCCUUAGGGUUGUAAAACUCUUUCGUCGGGGACGAUAAUGACGGUACCCGAAGAAGAAGCUCCGGCUAACUUCGUGCCAGCAGCCGCGGUAAUACGAAGGGAGCUAGCGUUGUUCGGAAUCACUGGGCGUAAAGCGCACGUAGGCGGAUAGUUAAGUCAGGGGUGAAAUCCUGGGGCUCAACCCCAGAACUGCCUUUGAUACUGGCUGUCUCGAGGUCGAGAGAGGUUGGUGGAAUUCCUAGUGUAGAGGUGAAAUUCGUAGAUAUUAGGAAGAACACCAGUGGCGAAGGCGGCCAACUGGCUCGAUACUGACGCUGAGGUGCGAAAGCGUGGGGAGCAAACAGGAUUAGAUACCCCAGUAGUCCCUGAGCGGGCUGGCAAGGCG
This 444-nucleotide ribosomal RNA is filed under the name uncultured bacterium. RNAcentral describes it as "bacterial SSU rRNA". It matches the Rfam family "Bacterial small subunit ribosomal RNA", at positions 355 to 822 of the family's 1533-position model. The record is from RNAcentral.